AUUUAUAUAAUAUAAUUAAUAUUUUUGACUUCCAAUCAAAAAAUCUGUCACCAGUAUAAAUA
RNAcentral lists this transfer RNA (62 nucleotides) under Aesalus sp. JL-2019. Its description in RNAcentral is "tRNA-Gly". Lineage: Eukaryota; Metazoa; Arthropoda; Insecta; Coleoptera; Lucanidae. The record is from RNAcentral.